UACGUAGGCAGCGAGCGUUGUUCGGAGUUACUGGGCGUAAAGGGUGCGCAGGCGGCCCUGCGCGUCGCGAGUGAAAUCUCCCGGCUCAACUGGGAGGGUGGUCGCGAGACGGCAGGGCUUGAGGCUCGGUGAGGGGCGUGGAAUUCCGGGUGGAGCGGUGAAAUGCGUAGAGAUCCGGAGGAACACCAACGGCGUAGGCAGCGCCCUAGACGAGACCUGACGCUCAGGCACGAAAGCGCGGGGAGCGAACAGG
Molecule: ribosomal RNA, 253 nt
Filed under: uncultured bacterium
Lineage: Bacteria
Description: partial 16S ribosomal RNA
Rfam family: Bacterial small subunit ribosomal RNA
Source: RNAcentral